CACGUAGGGUGCGAGCGUUGUCCGGAAUUAUUGGGCGUAAAGAGCUCGUAGGCGGUGUGUCGCGUCGGCCGUGAAAACCUGCAGCUUAACUGUGGGCGUGCGGUCGAUACGGGCAUCACUGGAGUUCGGCAGGGGAGACUGGAAUUCCUGGUGUAGCGGUGAAAUGCGCAGAUAUCAGGAGGAACACCGGUGGCGAAGGCGGGUCUCUGGGCCGAUACUGACGCUGAGGAGCGAAAGCCAGGGGAGCGAACGGG
This 254-nucleotide ribosomal RNA is filed under the name uncultured bacterium. RNAcentral's name for it is "partial 16S ribosomal RNA". It matches the Rfam family "Bacterial small subunit ribosomal RNA", at positions 524 to 776 of the family's 1533-position model. The record is from RNAcentral.